Fragilaria crotonensis is the source of this 80-nucleotide non-coding RNA. Lineage: Eukaryota; Bacillariophyta; Fragilariophyceae; Fragilariales; Fragilariaceae. The record is from the annotation of a GenBank genome assembly.
GUAGACGUGCCCGAGUGGUCUAAGGGGCAAGAUUUAGGCUCUUGUAUUAAUUUGCGUGGGUUCAAAUCCCACCGUCUACA